RNAcentral lists this ribosomal RNA (432 nucleotides) under uncultured bacterium. RNAcentral describes it as "partial 16S ribosomal RNA". It matches the Rfam family "Bacterial small subunit ribosomal RNA", at positions 29 to 507 of the family's 1533-position model. The record is from RNAcentral.
AACGAACGCUGGCGGCAUGCCUAACACAUGCAAGUCGAACGAGACCUUCGGGUCUAGUGGCGCACGGGUGCGUAACGCGUGGGAACCUGCCCUUAGGUUCGGAAUAACUCCCCGAAAGGGGUGCUAAUACCGGAUAAUGUCUUCGGACCAAAGAUUUAUCGCCUUUGGAUGGGCCCGCGUUGGAUUAGCUAGUUGGUAGGGUAAAAGCCUACCAAGGCGACGAUCCAUAGCUGGUCUGAGAGGAUGAUCAGCCACACUGGGACUGAGACACGGCCCAGACCCCUAGGGGGGGGAGAAGGGGGGAAUAUGGGAAAAGGGGCGAGGGCCUAAUCCAGAAAGGCCGGGUGAGUGAUGAAGGCCUUAGGGUUGUAAAGCUCUUUACCCGGGGAUGAAAAGGAAGGAACGGGGAAAAAAACCCCGGCUAAACCCGGG